CCUCCCUCGCACGAAAAAAAACCCUCCUCUCGAUUCACCCCUGGCGCUGCCCUUAUCUCUCGCUCCGCCGCCGCCGCCGCCCCUGCUUCCCUCCCGCUCAGCCACCUCCAUCGUUCCCACCCUUUUCCUCAUUGUCGGAUCCGCUUUCUCGUCAAGGUUAGGCGGCGAAAAGGUCUUGAUAUAUGCCUUGGCCACAGGUCUGCAGGUGCCCACAGAAUACAAUCCAUCGCCACCCAUGACUCCCUCACCCUGCUAGGGUUCCUAGCCCCGUCCUCCGCCGCCGCUGCGUGUUCCCGUCCGACCUCGCCCGAGCGAUUUCUUGACCUCGCCGGGAGCAGGCAGCUGGAUCCCGCCGCCGUGCCUCCCUCUCUCCCUUCUCUUCUUUUCCCCUACCUCUCUCUCUCCUCUGAACUGAGCGUCGUUCCUCUCUGCAGGUGCCGCCAUGGCCGCGUCUUGGAGCUCGCCGCCGUGGGCUGCGUGCCCCUCCGAUGACGGCCUUCCUCGCCCACGUCCAGGUCCCCUGGCCGGCCAUCUUCCAUUUUCUCUAUUCCCGCCCCAUGCCCCUCCCCAAAGAUCCCUCCCUCUCAUGGGCGUCACCACCAUCACUGCACCCAGCCUCCCUCAUCGUGGUGCAGUCAGUUCCGUUCCGUGGCCUCUAUCGUGUCUUCGAAGAAGGUCGUGAUACGCCACAAGUGGGAGCGGAAGCUGCGAUGUCAAGAUCUACAAGCAGGACAUGAACCACCUUGCCAUGUAUUUCCUCGUCACAUUAGGAUUCGUCGACGCCGCCAACAGGUUCUGUAUCAAUUCCGGCACCCAACGUACUGUAUGCCCACACAUUUAAAUCAUGCCGGUCUUACUCCUGCAAUACAAUAGUACUUGAGAUUUAGGCAGCGGUGGGCAUGCGCUGCAGGUCAUUCACCUGGUUGGCCUCUUUGAUGUAUCUGGUGUUGUUGUGUCCAUGUGGAAGGAGAGCCCGCUUCUCCGGGACGCUGGCGCUGACAUGCUCACCGUAGGCACCGUCAUGGCGGUGCUCGACUUAAGGGAGGAGGUCGGCAACCACCACUUCUUGAACCAAAGUUUGCAGAAGCUAUGGAAGAAAUGGUAACUUGCUUACUUGGGAAAACUGCAUUGGAUAGCGAUGAUGGUGACAGUGAUGAAUCUAAAUAGUGUGACGGUCUGAGUACUCGUGGGCGUGACGAGGUGAUUGCGGAUCCACCAGAACAUGCGAGUGGCAAUGCUUCAGGACAAGCAGCCAGCGACGGCAUAGCUUCACAGAAUGGAGUACGACGUAGGUGUCCAAGGGUUGUAUCAGGUCGCAUACGAAGAUCCUGAAGUUGCAAGUAGAUACAGUCAAUAACAUAGUUAAAGGUGAUAUGGGAGAUAAUUAAGUUCCCUAGGCAAGCUGGAUUGAAGCUUGAUGAGCCGAACCCAAGGGGCGUGCUUAGUUUCUACCACAAAAUUCUAUCAUUCACAUCAACCGAUGUUGCAAAGCAAGUAAAAAUGUACUAGAGUCAGAUAUUUGUUGGCAACGGCUUAUUGGGCUUUUUCAAAUCAAUAUUACUUCCACUAGCAGGAAAUGGUUCAAGCAUACUUAUCCAAAUCUUAUAAUCCUGAUGGGAGAAAACAUUGUGAAGGAGUUCAGGCUGAAUGGCCAGUUAACAAGAAUCGGGUGGAUCUGCGUGUGGUGGAUGAUCGUUUACAAGGAAGGUUGAAUGUAUGGUUCCUGGAGAUGAUCAGAUGGUGCCACGUAUUUGACCUGCGAUUUGUGCCUCCAAUAGUUCCAAUGAAUGCUCCAUGUGCUCCCCCUACGAUAUAAACCAUGGUCCAGAGAGAAUGUAAGGAAGUAGGAAUCAGCAGGCGUCUCUGAGUUGUUUCAGUUACCAUAUUUGCUUGCAAGGUGUGAGGGUGAAGCCAACUCUAAAAGUGGGGUCUGUUCAAGUAGAAGGAACAUGCCAAGAUGAAAGAAGACGGAGCAAAAAAACCUAUAGAGGCAUGAACGCAACACUAUCUAAAACAUCUCACACUUCUGUCUAGGAAUAUAAUGGAAUCUUGGAAGAAAGAAAGAGGAAGAGUUCGCACCCACCUUCUCUCAAAGCCGCCGCUUUGAGUUCGUGUCGGCCCUACUGCAGUCGGCAGUUGUCAAGGUCGACCUGCGUGCCGCAGGGGAGCAUCACCGCCCUACACGCCGAGGGGCGCCAUGCGCUGGCUCCCACGUGCGGUUUGACCAACAAGUCGAGAUUGCGCGUGCGGAGGUAGAGGGCAAGGAAGGGGAAUCCGGCGUGCCCGCCCUGCACAACAUCAGGCCACAUGGAAGCUCCCGAGCACGAAAACGAACGCUCACUACUCUCUCCUUCUUGAAUUGCCGGCAUCGCUUUAGAUGGGUGAAGAGAGGUGAGCAUUUCUGGUGAAGCUGGAGGAGGAUGGAAGAAUAAUAGUCAUUUUGGAGCUAGCUACGACCUCCUCUGGAUGUUUCAUAGGGUUCCGCACAAUGUGUUCUCCUGUAAUUUGGUCACCAAGGCUGCUGAAAUGAUUUGGCAUCUGAACUUUGUCAAGUCCUUAUUGGAAGACGCAGAUUGCAGAUCAUUCUAUCCCUGUAAGACCAAGAUUUUGAUGCUCCUGUUACCUGGCAUCGAGGUUGAGUAACAUGUUUUUGGUCAUGAUUCCUGUUGUGCUUCUUGAAGAAGGUAUCCCCCUUAUACGAAGAUUUCUAGCUUGCCUAUGUGUUGUAAUGUUAAUAAGUGCAUUCGGCCAAACAAUUUGCGGACCAAAUGAACUUGCUGCGGAUAUAGAAGAAUAAGGCGGCACACAAGGAGUUGCCUGAAUUGCAGUGGCAGCGGUGUUGUAAUAUGCUUACAGUAUUUCAGGCCUCUAUUCCAACACACACAUUCCAGUUGCCAUUGGUGAGCAAAUGAGAUAUGAAGUUACCAGCGAUUUUCAUUAUACGUGGUAAAAAUAAUGCAAAUCAUGCUUUAUGGAGAGUUGAAACACUGACUAUUGAUCGGAGAAAAUUUAGUGGUGACAACUACCCAAGAACAUUGAGAAUGGCGCCAGAAAUUCCUUUUGCUGAUAUCACAAAUUUUGUGCCAUGGUCCAUAAAGAGAACAAGUGCUGGUGUGUGUUCCGAUCCAGUAAAUUUUCUUCAUGUGCCACACAAGUGGAGACGACUCUGCUUUUUUACCAUGAUCUUGAGAGUUAUGAACUUUAUGACAAUAAUGACUCUCAAGUUCAACAAGAGCUCGUACAAAAGAUAUGGAAAGUGUUUAAGACUAUACUAGAAGAGACUGGCAAAUUAAGGGAAGAGACCAAGGAAGGCAUUUCUAUAGCUAAGUCCAUUGUAAUCAUUUUGGAUUGAAAUUCAAGUUUGGCAAAAGGUCUUGAUAUAUGCCUUGGUCACAGGUCUAAAUGUUAUAAGCAUGGCUCCCCACAUCCAAUUUUUCAGGCCAUGGAGCUUCUAUGGUUGGUUCAUAUGUGGUUAUCGAAGCAGGAUAAGUUCUUGAGGAGGACUCUAAUUGCUAUGGGCCACAAGAUUUCAUAUGUCACUCCCUAUUGCGUAUUGCUGUUGACAUUGGACUUGCUAUCCAGUAAGAGGGACAUUGGGAUCAUUGUUCAUCUAGAGAAGUCAGUGCUAUAUCUACGUCAGAAUAUUGGGAUGUUAAUGAUUGGAGGGAGCGACAACAACCGCCGGUCUCUUCUUCGCCUUCUUAGCCGGCAUCUCCCCCAUCCGGAUGCCCUGCGGCACGAGCCACUCCACCAUCGCCUGGGACUCGACCUCCGGGAAGUUUAGGUCCGUCUUCGGCUGUCCGGCACGCCACACCGCCACGUCGUAAGCAUGCGCGGCCUCAUCGGCGGUGGGAUACAUGCCGAGCCACGAACGCUGCCAGGCGUCGGAGAACUCCAGUUCGAAGUUCCCGGAAGCUUCGCCCUCAUGCCGAAGAAACCGGACUUGCCCUUCGGCGUCUUCUUCGGCGCCAUUGGGGAGCGGGCGGUGGCCGAGCGGGGAGCGGGGCGGCGACGUGCGGGGCGGAGGCGGACGGAGCGGGGCGGCGGCGUGCGGCGCGGGGCGGAGGCGGAAGGAGCGGGCGGCGGACGGAGCAGCGCCAGAGAGGAGGCAGACGGAGCGGGGCCAGGCAGAGGAUGGACCGGAGGCGGAGGCGGCCGGAGAGGAGGCGGGCAGGGUCGGGGCUGGCGGAGGCAAACACGAUGGGGCAGCGCGGCGGCAGGCGGUGGCCAAGGCGGGGUGGAAUCAAUGGCAGGGGUCUGGAUCUACGGUGGGCAAGGCCUUAGAAAGUUAACAUGUAACUUUUGCAAACUAUUUCAAGAGCCCGUGGCAACGCAUGGGCAUUCUAUUAGUAUAUAUAGAUUUCGCGAUAAAACACACGCCACACGCGAGAACAGUGUUAGGAAUCACGAAAUCACUAAUUAAUCAAGAGUACUUCUUCGAAGAUCA
Triticum urartu is the source of this 4447-nucleotide non-coding RNA. The record is from RefSeq and is a predicted model, not a curated record. NCBI's taxonomy places the organism in Eukaryota, Viridiplantae, Streptophyta, Magnoliopsida, Poales, Poaceae.